UUUAACAUCUUAGUCAAAGUUUUUUUUCUCUUUUUUUUUUUUUACAGAAACGUACGUCAUUGAUCGGGACGAAUGCGUUUUUAUCGGAAUGCGGUUUAAGUUCCCGAAUCGUCCGUCGCGUCGAGCGGAAUGAAAUUGCUCAACGUUGAAAGCGAAAUUAAUUAUCAAGAAACUCACACGGAAGAGCUCGAAUUGUAGUCAAGCGUCUGUCCCUAAUGCUAAAGAGAACGUGGCAACGCGCUUAUAAACUUAAACAGAGACGAUCUAACGAAGCUCAACGAUCGGCAGCCCGCCUCGAUCCUUCUUUCCUUCCUCUCUACCUCCCCAAGAUUGAUCUACGCGGUCUCGGGAGGUAGCUUCUGAUCCCAGGCACGAUCUGAUCAGCUGCCAUUUAAUCUCAGCACGCCGCAAUUGUCAGCUCCUCGUGCCUCGUCUUUACUGUGCAUACACAGAGACUGACUCGGCUACUACGGGUGAUUAUUACGGGCUCCUAGGCAGGAAGAGAGUAUCGAGGGCGGUGCGCCGCGCUCCUGUGGGGUAACAGCUCCUCACAGCGAGUAACAAUAGGACCCAUAUUGAAAUAAACCCACGUCCACGUAGGUCGGACGAGGCGCGCGUAUUCUGUUAACCGGCGGUACGGAGGACUCCGCGGGCGAGGCUCAGGCCGCCGGUAUUGCUGGCACUGACAGCGAGGCAGUAGAGGUGGUGGCACACGGUACCAGCGAUGGCUACACGACUCAUCGGCAAGUGUGUGCGUGCGGCUCUUGGUGCCGGUGGACCUCUUACACUCCACUCAGUUCGAGCCGGGCGUCAGUGACUUCGCGUCCGCCGAUCCGAUCGGAUCCUCUCCAAAAGGUGUGCGCGUUCUACCGUAACUCGGGGAACGGAGUUCGGACGAAAUCGGACCGAAUUCUAUCGUCGAAUCUUAGGAAACGAACGUGCGGUGGUAGUCGGAGUAUUCUUUCUCGGAUAUUUUUCACUCUGUUAUCGGAAUUAUAUUUGUCUCCCUCGAUUUGCACGAUUCUUUCUGCACGACCACCGCGAUGCAACGCGACCUCGGCCGACAAGGUGUCUGAAGGAUAUCCCUGCGGGACUUCUCUACCUCCUUCUCUGGCCUUUGCCUUUCCUCGCGGGAUACGGUAGGUCUUGUUCAGAGGCUACCAGGAUGCAGCUCAGACCCAGUUAUCGAGGCGUCUGAAGGCACCCCGCGGCCCGCACGGCUCGGCAUAAAGCAAUAAAAGCGCUCGCGCUACGAGAUAUAUCUCGCGAGGCUCGCGUAAGAAACGGCGAAAGAAAGCCGACUGCACCGGUAAAUCAUAAACGCCACGGGGAUCGAACCCCGCGGGAGAUAACUGCCUUCGCGUAAGGAGA
Pogonomyrmex barbatus (red harvester ant) is the source of this 1371-nucleotide long non-coding RNA. The record is from RefSeq and is a predicted model, not a curated record. Lineage: Eukaryota; Metazoa; Arthropoda; Insecta; Hymenoptera; Formicidae.